This 460-nucleotide ribosomal RNA is filed under the name uncultured bacterium. RNAcentral's name for it is "partial 16S ribosomal RNA". It matches the Rfam family "Bacterial small subunit ribosomal RNA", at positions 338 to 795 of the family's 1533-position model. The record is from RNAcentral.
CCUACGGGGGGCAGCAGUGAGGAAUAUUGGUCAAUGGACGAGCGUCUGAACCAGCCAAGUAGCGUGAAGGAUGACUGCCCUAUGGGUUGUAAACUUCUUUUAUAUGGGAAUAAAAUGUUCCAAGUGUGGGAUUUUGUAUGUACCAUAUGAAUAAGGAUCGGCUAACUCCGUGCCAGCAGCCGCGGUAAUACGGAGGAUCCGAGCGUUAUCCGGAUUUAUUGGGUUUAAAGGGAGCGUAGGUGGAUUGUUAAGUCAGUUGUGAAAGUUUGCGGCUCAACCGUAAAAUUGCAGUUGAAACUGGCAGUCUUGAGUACAGUAGAGGUGGGCGGAAUUCGUGGUGUAGCGGUGAAAUGCUUAGAUAUCACGAAGAACUCCGAUUGCGAAGGCAGUUCACUGGACUGCAACUGACACUGAGGCUCGAAAGUGUGGGUAUCAAACAGGAUUAGAUACCCUAGUAGUC